CUGGGGAGUGCAACGAGCGAGGAUUCCCAUCAUGUCUUGGAGGAUUCCAUGGGGGAUGAUGACACUUUAUCAUGUAACAUGGUGAUAAAUGGACAGUAUCGAUCGUGAGAUUCCUCCAGAGAAGGGCCCUGCUGUCCUGAUGACUGAGCUGCUCAGACGAGGGAGCCACACAUGGGCAUCAUUAUGGAGAGAGGGCCCGUAAGCCCACAUGGGCAUCAUUAUGGAGAGAGGGCCCGUAAGCCCACAUGGGCAUCAUUAUGGAGAGAGGGAGGUGUAGGGCCCGUAAGCCCACAUGGGCAUCAUUAUGGAGAGAGGGCCCGUAAGCCCACAUGGGCAUCAUUAUGGAGAGAGGGCCCAUAAGCCCACAUGGGCAUCAUUAUGGAGAGAGGGCCCAUAAGCCCACAUGGGCAUCAUUAUGGAGAGAGGGAGAGGUGUAGGGCCCGUAAGCACACAUGGGCAUCAUUAUGGAGAGAGGGCCCGUAAGCCCACAUGGGCAUCAUUAUGGAGAGAGGGCCCAUAAGCACACAUGGGCAUCA
Alosa alosa (allis shad) is the source of this 536-nucleotide long non-coding RNA. RefSeq lists it as uncharacterized. Lineage: Eukaryota; Metazoa; Chordata; Actinopteri; Clupeiformes; Clupeidae. The transcript is spliced from 3 exons. The record is from RefSeq and is a predicted model, not a curated record.